RNAcentral lists this transfer RNA (72 nucleotides) under Pelobates cultripes (western spadefoot toad). RNAcentral describes it as "tRNA.Cys". It matches the Rfam family "tRNA". From Rfam's summary of the family: Transfer RNA (tRNA) molecules are approximately 80 nucleotides in length. Their secondary structure includes four short double-helical elements and three loops (D, anti-codon, and T loops). Further hydrogen bonds mediate the characteristic L-shaped molecular structure. tRNAs have two regions of fundamental functional importance: the anti-codon, which is responsible for specific mRNA codon recognition, and the 3' end, to which the tRNAs corresponding amino acid is attached (by aminoacyl-tRNA synthetases). tRNAs cope with the degeneracy of the genetic code in two manners: having more than one tRNA (with a specific anti-codon) for a particular amino acid; and 'wobble' base-pairing, i.e. permitting non-standard base-pairing at the 3rd anti-codon position. The record is from RNAcentral. Lineage: Eukaryota; Metazoa; Chordata; Amphibia; Anura; Pelobatidae.
GGGGGUAUAGCUCAGUGGUAGAGCAUUUGACUGCAGAUCAAAAGGUCUCAGGUUCAAAUUCUGUUGCCCCCU